UACGAAGGGGGCUAGCGUUGUUCGGAAUCACUGGGCGUAAAGGGCGCGUAGGCGGCCGGUCAAGUCGGGGGUGAAAGCCUGUGGCUCAACCACAGAAUGGCCUUCGAUACUGGACGGCUCGAGACCGGAAGAGGUGAGUGGAACUGCGAGUGUAGAGGUGAAAUUCGUAGAUAUUGGGAAGAACACCGGUGGCGAAGGCGGCUCACUGGCUCGUAACUGACGCUCAUGCACGACAGCGUGGGGAUCAAACAGG
RNAcentral lists this ribosomal RNA (253 nucleotides) under uncultured bacterium. Its description in RNAcentral is "partial 16S ribosomal RNA". It matches the Rfam family "Bacterial small subunit ribosomal RNA", at positions 524 to 776 of the family's 1533-position model. The record is from RNAcentral.